RNAcentral lists this ribosomal RNA (253 nucleotides) under uncultured bacterium. Its description in RNAcentral is "partial 16S ribosomal RNA". It matches the Rfam family "Bacterial small subunit ribosomal RNA", at positions 524 to 776 of the family's 1533-position model. The record is from RNAcentral.
UACGGGGGGGGCAAGCGUUGUUCGGAAUUACUGGGCGUAAAGGGCUCGUAGGCGGCCAACUAAGUCAGACGUGAAAUCCCUCGGCUUAACCGGGGAACUGCGUCUGAUACUGGAUGGCUUGAGGUUGGGAGAGGGAUGCGGAAUUCCAGGUGUAGCGGUGAAAUACGUAGAUAUCAUUUGGAACGCCAAUGGUGAAAACAGGUAGCUGGGGCUGUGCUGACACUGAGACACGAAAGCCAGGGGAGCAAACGGG